CGGCCGUACCAUGCUGAAUAUACCGGUUCUCGUUAGAUCACCGAAGUCAAGCAUCAUUGGGCGCAGUCAGUACUUGGGUGGGUGACCACCUGGGAACACCGCGUGCCGUU
This 110-nucleotide ribosomal RNA is filed under the name Caerostris darwini. The record is from RNAcentral. Lineage: Eukaryota; Metazoa; Arthropoda; Arachnida; Araneae; Araneidae.